CGGUUCUACAAAGAGCUGGACGUGAUACUCGGGGGCGACCCCACCUCCACUGCAAAGGCCCCGGUGGAUACUUCGGUGGCUCGUGUGCCAGCUGAGAGUGGACAGAGCCAGGAGAAGGAAAUCUUGGAUGAGGAUGUGGAUGGGAAGGGGGACCCAGAAGCAGAGGACGACUUGGAGGUCAGAGAUGCGUGCAGCCAGGAGUUCUUCUCUACCUCAGAGGAGACUAGCCAGUCACAGCUGUUGGAGCUUGGCGAAGUGCAAACAGGAGAGGAGGCCCCGGUAUGACCUUGGGAGCCCAGCCUCCGUCUUUGUUAUCGCCAGCUGAAUGGCUGCUCAGAAUUAGAAAGUGGCCACGAAGAACUAAAGAGGACUUUCUGCAUGAUGUCAUGAUGCACUCCAUGGCC
Long non-coding RNA from Chelonia mydas (Green sea turtle), 404 nucleotides. RefSeq lists it as uncharacterized. Lineage: Eukaryota; Metazoa; Chordata; Testudines; Cheloniidae. The transcript has 2 exons. The record is from RefSeq and is a predicted model, not a curated record.